GUGGGGAAUCUUGCGCAAUGGGCGAAAGCCUGACGCAGCCAUGCCGCGUGAAUGAUGAAGGUCUUAGGAUUGUAAAAUUCUUUCACCGGGGACGAUAAUGACGGUACCCGGAGAAGAAGCCGCGGCUAACUUCGUGCCAGCAGCCGCGGUAAUACGAAGGGGGCUAGCGUUGCUCGGAAUUACUGGGCGUAAAGGGCGCGUAGGCGGACAGUUUAGUCAGAGGUGAAAGCCCAGGGCUCAACCUUGGAAUUGCCUUUGAUACUGGCUGUCUUGAGUACGGGAGAGGUGAGUGGAACUCCGAGUGUAGAGGUGAAAUUCGUAGAUAUUCGGAAGAACACCAGUGGCGAAGGCGACUCACUGGCCCGUUACUGACGCUGAGGCGCGAAAGCGUGGGGAGCAAACAGGAUUAGAAACCCUUGUAGUCC
Molecule: ribosomal RNA, 425 nt
Filed under: uncultured bacterium
Lineage: Bacteria
Description: partial 16S ribosomal RNA
Rfam family: Bacterial small subunit ribosomal RNA
Source: RNAcentral